This is a long non-coding RNA of Centropristis striata (black sea bass), 782 nucleotides long. RefSeq lists it as uncharacterized. The transcript is spliced from 5 exons. NCBI's taxonomy places the organism in Eukaryota, Metazoa, Chordata, Actinopteri, Perciformes, Serranidae. The record is from RefSeq and is a predicted model, not a curated record.
CAGCUUUUUUCUUUUGUAGACGGGAGAGUUGAGAUAUACUGUUCAAACUCUGACUUCAACAAAAAGAUAUUUGGUUUUUUACUUGAAAACUUACAUUUGCAUAUAAUAUUACAUAUUAUGAGAUCUUUCUGUGUCUCAAAAGAUGCACGUGCGUCAGUAAAUGUCAUGGAAACAGAAUGACCGUCACGUCAUGUAGGCCUAUUUAAAGGCCAGCAGACCUAUCAUUUCUCACUUUGCACCUGAACCUGGACACGAGCUGAAAACCUCUUGACCCAAACUGUGAAAACUUUUAGAAACUUCUACAAAGCGGACCUUGUUGAAAAAAACAAAACUACUGCUUCAAGCACCUUUUGUGUAAAACCCGAAGAGCCUGAAUACUGUCUUCAGUGGACCACCGGUCGCUGAGGACCACCUGCUGGUGGGGCCCAUAGAUAGGGCCUACCACCCAGAGGUGGACGCUAACCCAGCAGCCUCUACAGAGAAAAGGAGACCCAAUUGAAGCAGUUGUGGUAAAAAAAAAAAAAAAGAAGAGCAGACCAUGCUCCUUCUCUAGUGGAAGAGAUGCUGAUGAUGCUCCCGCCGCCAAGACCUCUGCAGAAAAACGCAUAAGGAGGUGCCAUAGACUGCUUCAUUGACUCCUGAGACAAAUAUUCACCAAAAAUCCUGUGGUAGAUGAAAGUGGACAGCAGUCUGACUCACAGCAGAGAGUCGCCUCAGAUGCUCUGGCCACCCCAGCACCACUCUCAGAUAAACAACAAAAACCACAGAAGAGGAAGCACAAA